RNAcentral lists this unclassified non-coding RNA (277 nucleotides) under fungal sp. RNAcentral describes it as "partial internal transcribed spacer region". The stretch from base 1 to 46 matches the Rfam family "Eukaryotic small subunit ribosomal RNA", at positions 1786 to 1831 of the family's 1831-position model. The record is from RNAcentral. Lineage: Eukaryota; Fungi.
AAGUCGUAACAAGGUAACCGUAGGUGAACCUGCGGUUGGAUCAUUACCAAAUCCAAACCCGGUGCUGGGUGGGCUUGUCCCACCCAGUGCCUCCACCCCAUGUGCAAUGUACACUGGGGGCGCGUGUGCUGCAAGGCCCCUGCGUCCCCUUUCACAACCAUGUGUAUUUUCCAAUCACCUGACGUUACCACUCGUGGACGCGGAGCGCCUUCCGGUGCUGCGCAACCAUUAGAGCUUAACGAAAAAACAACUUUUGACAACGGAUCUCUUGGCUCUC